GGGUGAGUAACACGUGGAUAACCUACCUAUAAGACUGGGAUAACUUCGGGAAACCGGAGCUAAUACCGGAUAAUAUUUUGAACCGCAUGGUUCAAAAGUGAAAGACGGUCUUGCUGUCACUUAUAGAUGGAUCCGUGCUGCAUUAGCUAGUUGGUAAGGUAACGGCUUACCAAGGCAACGAUGCAUAGCCGACCUGAGAGGGUGAUCGGCCACACUGGAACUGAGACACGGUCCAG
Molecule: ribosomal RNA, 236 nt
Filed under: uncultured Staphylococcus sp.
Lineage: Bacteria; Bacillati; Bacillota; Bacilli; Caryophanales; Staphylococcaceae
Description: partial 16S ribosomal RNA
Rfam family: Bacterial small subunit ribosomal RNA
Source: RNAcentral